AGAGUGUAGAUCCUGGCUCAGCCCUGAACGCUGGCGGCGUGGCUAAAGACAUGCAAGUCGAACGGGUGUAGCAAUACACCAGUGGCGGACGGGUGAGUAAUGUAUAGCUAACGUGCCCCUUGGACGAGGAUAGCCAUCCGAAAGGGUGGGUAAUACUCGGUGACAUAACCUGAUCGCAUGGUCGGGUUCUCAUAGACCGUAAGGUGCCGAGGGAGCGGGUUAUAUUGUAUCAGCUAGUUGGUAGGGUAACGGCCUACCAAAGGCGACGACGCAUAGCCGGGCUAAGAGGUUUACCGGCCACAUUGGGACUGAGACACUGCCCAGACUCCUAACGGGGGGCUGCAGUAACGAAAUCUUCCACAAUGCACGAAAGUGUGAUGGAGCGACGCCGCGUGUGGGAUGAAAGUUCCUUCGGAAUGUANCCCCUGUCAGGGGAAAGAAAGUUCUGAUCUACCCCCAGAGGAAGGCACGGCUAACCUCUGUGCCAGCAGCCCGCGGUAAAGACGAAGGUGCCCAGGCGUUAGGGCCGGGAAUCCCUGGGGCCUUAAAGCCGUGUGUUGGGCGGAAUUGGCCCAAGUCCCNUGUUGGAAAUCCCCCGGGCUUCANCCGGUGGNAACUGCUUCGGUUUUUCUG
Molecule: ribosomal RNA, 633 nt
Filed under: uncultured Planctomycetota bacterium
Lineage: Bacteria; Pseudomonadati; Planctomycetota
Description: bacterial SSU rRNA
Rfam family: Bacterial small subunit ribosomal RNA (bases 2-527)
Source: RNAcentral